Tribolium madens (black flour beetle) is the source of this 247-nucleotide long non-coding RNA. RefSeq lists it as uncharacterized. Lineage: Eukaryota; Metazoa; Arthropoda; Insecta; Coleoptera; Tenebrionidae. The record is from RefSeq and is a predicted model, not a curated record. The transcript has 2 exons.
UCUUUGAUGCUACAGUUAAGUGGCAAGUUGUCAACGAUGAAAGCGGUCGAGCUUUCAUCAACAUUCCAAAAUGGAUUAAAAUGAUUUGAAACUAUGUUGAUUGGGAACUAUGGAAAUGGACCUGGACCGGAUUAGGACUUUUCGACUCUGAUUUUAAUUUGUAUAUUUUAGUACAGCAACUUCGUAGAUUAAUAGAUAUAAAUGUAAUUUGUAACACAAGAAAUAAAGUUUCAUUUUCGACAACAUA